GAUGAACGCUGGCGGCGUGCUUAACACAUGCAAGUCGAACGGAGUUAUUACAGUGAAGUUUUGGGAUGGAGCUGUAAUAACUUAGUGGCGGACGGGUGAGUAACGCGUGGGUAACCUGCCUCAUACAGGGGGAUAACAGUUAGAAAUGACUGAUAAUACCGAAUAAAACUGUCACUUCGCAUGAAGAGCCAGUCAAAGAUUUAUCGGUAUGAGAUGGACCCGCGUCUGAUUAGCUAGUUGGUGGGGUAAUGGCCUACCAAGGCGACGAUAAGUAGCCGACUUGAGAGAGUGAUCGGCCACAGUGGGUCUGAGACACGGCCCAAACUCCUACGGGAGGCAGCAGUGGGGAAUAUUGCACAAUGGGGGAAACCCUGAUUCGGCUACGCCGCGUGAGUGAAGAAGUAUUUCGGUAUGUAAACUUCUAUCAACGGGGAAGAAAAAAAUGACGGUACCCGAAUAAGAAGCCCCGGCUAACUACGUGCCAGCCGCCGCAGAAA
This 497-nucleotide ribosomal RNA is filed under the name uncultured bacterium. Its description in RNAcentral is "partial 16S ribosomal RNA". It matches the Rfam family "Bacterial small subunit ribosomal RNA", at positions 28 to 523 of the family's 1533-position model. The record is from RNAcentral.